This 555-nucleotide ribosomal RNA is filed under the name uncultured Lactobacillaceae bacterium. Its description in RNAcentral is "bacterial SSU rRNA". It matches the Rfam family "Bacterial small subunit ribosomal RNA", at positions 8 to 523 of the family's 1533-position model. Lineage: Bacteria; Bacillati; Bacillota; Bacilli; Lactobacillales; Lactobacillaceae. The record is from RNAcentral.
AGAGUUUGAUCCUGGCUCAGGACGAACGCUGGCGGCGUGCCUAAUACAUGCAAGUCGAGCGAGUCUGCCUUGAAGAUCGGAGUGCUUGCACUCUGUGAAACAAGAUACAGGCUAGCGGCGGACGGGUGAGUAACACGUGGGUAACCUGCCCAAGAGAUCGGGAUAACACCUGGAAACAGAUGCUAAUACCGGAUAACAACAGAUGAUGCCUAUCAACUGUUUAAAAGAUGGUUCUGCUAUCACUCUUGGAUGGACCUGCGGUGCAUUAGCUAGUUGGUAGGGUAACGGCCUACCAAGGCGAUGAUGCAUAGCCGAGUUGAGAGACUGAUCGGCCACAUUGGGACUGAGACACGGCCCAAACUCCUACGGGAGGCAGCAGUAGGGAAUCUUCCACAAUGGACGCAAGUCUGAUGGAGCAACGCCGCGUGAGUGAAGAAGGGUUUCGGCUCGUAAAGCUCUGUUGUUGGUGAAGAAUGACAGGGGUAGUAACUGACCUUUGUUUGACGGUAAUCAAUUAGAAAGUCACGGCUAACUACGUGCCAGCCGCCGCGGUAA